Molecule: RNA transcript, 1595 nt
Organism: Cryptotermes secundus
Lineage: Eukaryota; Metazoa; Arthropoda; Insecta; Blattodea; Kalotermitidae
Gene name: E3 ubiquitin-protein ligase sina-like
Exons: 2
Source: RefSeq, a predicted model, not a curated record
CAGGUGCGAGCGUCACUUAACUUACGUGCACAUUCGGAUACAAAGCACAUAUCAACUGCUAUUUCAGCACUGGCCCGCCUGCAUCGAAGUUGUAAUGAAGACGGUGAAACCUGAUCUGAGUCAAGGCCUCCUGAGUGAGCUACAGUGCCCGGGCUGCAUGGAGUACAUGCUGCCACCUAUCGAGACAUGCAUGAACGGACACAACAUCUGUUCGAAAUGCAAGCCGAAACUGAAGGAAUGUCCCGCCUGCAGGAAACCAUUGCUUAAUAUGAGGAAUUUCGCGCUGGAAAAUCUCACCAGAAAAAUAGACUAUCCUUGCACCAACCGAAAAUUUGGUUGUAAAGAAACACAUUCUGUUGAUUUCAUAAUUGACCAUCAGGUUACAUGUGUUUAUGCUCCAUUUACAUGCCCUUUUCUUAAACACAAUAAAUGUGCUUGGAUUGAUAUUCUAAAAAAUCUGAAGAACCAUUUGCUAGAAUGUCACAGUCAAGACGUGAGAGAACAAAAUGGCGAAACAAAUCUUAUAAUAAACCCAGAGAGUAAGGAAUUAAGAGGAUAUAAGGUUAUGUUUGCCUAUAAUGAAAUGUUUUAUAUAUAUAUUCAGAGAAGGGCGACUAACUACUACAUUGCUGUAACUUAUGUUGGGAAGCCUGAGAAUGCUUCCAAAUAUGGAUAUAAAAUAUCUUUCAAGAAAUCGGAAAGUAUUGAGAGCAUCACGGUUUGUCACGUGUCACGCAGUGUUAAUGAAGAGCUCAAUAAGAUCUUUGAGUCUGGAAACUGUUUUAAGCUUCCAUAUGACUUACUUAAGCGGUAUGUGACAUGUGAUGGACAAUUGAGGUACAAAUUAGAAAUUUUUGAAGUGUCACCAGUGCGUUAAACACUGUAAAAUAACGCGAAGUAACUGCAAAACCUUGAGUCCUUCUUUAGAAACUAACAGUUGCUCAGCCACUCAAGUAAUUCCCAGCAUUUCAUGGAGCCAUAAGGUUCAUCACUGUGUUCACAAGAGCCUUCCACUAGUCUCUUUCCUGCGCCAGAUGAAUCAAAUCCACAUCAUCCCAACCUUACUUUUCUUAGAUGCAUUUUAAUACUAUUCCCUCACGUAUAUCUAGGUCUUCCUAGUGGUCUCUUUCCUUCUAGUUUUCCUACCAAAACACUAUUCAAUUCUGUUCCUGCGUGCUACAUUCUGUGUCCAACUCAUCCUCCUUGACUCCCCUAUUCUGAUUACAUUUAGAGGGGAGUACAAGUUAUGAAGCUUCAAAUUAUGCAGAUUUCUCCAGGAUCCUACUAUUUUUACCCCUCUUCAAUCCAAAUUUUCGCCUCAGCUCCCUGUUCUCAAACUCCCCCAGUCUAUGUUCAUCCGUUAGUGUUUCACACCCACACAGAACUGCAGACAAAAUUAUGGUUUUGCGUGUUUCAAUUGUUAUGUUUUUACACAGCAGGCGAGAACACAAAAGCUUCCGGACUGAACGGUGACAAGCAUUACCCGAAUUUAAUCUGGUCUUUCUAUCCUCAUGAAUACAAUUUUUGAUUUGUUACUGUCGUUCUCAAAUAUCUCAACAUUGCCACAUUUCCAUGUAUAGCAAUCUGAUUGAAUA